GAAUAAUCGAAAAAAAGUUUCUUCGUUAUACACAAAAUCUAAAAUUGAUAUAUUUCUUUAGAUGAGACUAAUAUGGUUAAUCAUUAUUGCGAUAUAAAAUAUUUGAAUAUACUUUUUAUUAGUAAAAUAUAAUAAUGUAAAAAACAUGCAUAACAUAUUUCGUUCCAUGGAUAGAUCAUUGUUUUAGGUCGGACGUUACGAAGGUAUACAGAAAACAAGGUAAUUUAAUUUAUAUACUGAAAGCAACGAUAAAGCAUUGCAUCCUGCACUCAGCAGAUUGUCCACUCGACAAUCUGUUGGGAGUCUAGAAAAUUGUUUCAAACAAAGUACCGCAGAAUGGAAAAUUCACAUUGAAAUACUCUGAGUGUUUUAUACUAACGAAUAAGUGUUUUUCAAAAAAGAGAAAAAUCUAGUAAAAAUAUUAUUACUUCUUCGUUACACACUAUGGCUAAAAGUCUAAAAUACGUGAC
Non-coding RNA from Cinara cedri, 470 nucleotides. The record is from the annotation of a GenBank genome assembly. NCBI's taxonomy places the organism in Eukaryota, Metazoa, Arthropoda, Insecta, Hemiptera, Aphididae.